UGGCAAGUCUUCCAGUAUGGGGAGCAAAACAGCUAUGGGUCAAGUCCGAUAUCUUUAGGAGAAGUCUUAUUGUGAGGGCGAGUUAUAUAACACCAUAGGACUGGCCGUCCCAUAUGAAAAGAUUAUAUUAGAAUUGAAUGAAGCUUUGUUUAUAUAUUGAUAAUGACAGUAUAUAUAUCGUGUCUUGACUAAUUGCGUGCCAGCAGUCGCGGUAAUACGUAAGAGACUAGUGUUAUUCAUCUUAAUUAGGUUUAAAGGGUACCCAGACGGUCAAUAUAGCUUAUAAAAUGUUAGUACUUGACUAGAGUUUUAUGUAAGAGGGCAGUACUUGAGGAGGAGAGAUGAAAUUUCGUGAUACCAAAGGGACUCUGUAAAGGCGAAGGCAGCCCUCUAUGUAAAAACUGACGUUGAAGGACGAAGGCACAGAGAACAAACAGGAUUAGAUACCCAAGUAGUCUUUGCAGUAAAUGAUGAAUGCCAUAGGUUAGAUUAAUCAAUUAUAGUCUAGGGUUAGUCUAGCAAACUAAUGACAGACUAUAAUUAAAAAUAUCUGGUCUAUAAAUGAAAGUGUAAGCAUUUC
This 580-nucleotide ribosomal RNA is filed under the name Fusarium foetens. RNAcentral's name for it is "SSU rRNA". It matches the Rfam family "Bacterial small subunit ribosomal RNA", at positions 355 to 870 of the family's 1533-position model. The record is from RNAcentral. Lineage: Eukaryota; Fungi; Ascomycota; Sordariomycetes; Hypocreales; Nectriaceae.